UGGGGAAUAUUGCACAAUGGAGGGAACUCUGAUGCAGCGACGCCGCGUGAGUGAUGAAGGUUUUCGGAUCGUAAACCUCUGUCAGAAGGGAAGAAACCGCACUGUGCUAAUCAGCAGUGCCUUGACGGUACCUUCAAAGGAAGCACCGGCUAACUCCGUGCCAGCAGCCGCGGUAAUACGGAGGGUGCAAGCGUUAAUCGGAAUUACUGGGCGUAAAGCGCACGUAGGCUGCUUUGUAAGUCAGGGGUGAAAUCCCACGGCUCAACCGUGGAACUGCCUUUGAUACUGCUUAGCUUGAAUCCGGGAGAGGGUGGCGGAAUUCCAGGUGUAGGAGUGAAAUCCGUAGAUAUCUGGAGGAACAUCAGUGGCGAAGGCGGCCACCUGGACCGGUAUUGACGCUGAGGUGCGAAAGCGUGGGGAGCAAACAGG
This 429-nucleotide ribosomal RNA is filed under the name Fusobacteriota bacterium. Its description in RNAcentral is "Fusobacteria bacterium partial 16S ribosomal RNA". It matches the Rfam family "Bacterial small subunit ribosomal RNA", at positions 355 to 776 of the family's 1533-position model. Lineage: Bacteria; Fusobacteriati; Fusobacteriota. The record is from RNAcentral.